This 467-nucleotide ribosomal RNA is filed under the name uncultured bacterium. Its description in RNAcentral is "partial 16S ribosomal RNA". It matches the Rfam family "Bacterial small subunit ribosomal RNA", at positions 38 to 507 of the family's 1533-position model. The record is from RNAcentral.
AAGAAGGAAGUCGUCGUGCUUAACACAUGCAAGUCGAACGGAAAGGCCCUGCUUUUGUGGGGUGCUCGAGUGGCGAACGGGUGAGUAACACGUGAGUAACCUGCCCUUGACUUUGGGAUAACUUCAGGAAACUGGGGCUAAUACCGGAUAGGAGCUCCUGCUGCAUGGUGGGGGUUGGAAAGUUUCGGCGGUUGGGGAUGGACUCGCGGCUUAUCAGCUUGUUGGUGGGGUAGUGGCUUACCAAGGCUUUGACGGGUAGCCGGCCUGAGAGGGUGACCGGCCACAUUGGGACUGAGAUACGGCCCAGACUCCUACGGGAGGCAGCAGUGGGGAAUAUUGCACAAUGGGCGGAAGCCUGAUGCAGCAACGCCGCGUGCGGGAUGACGGCCUUCGGGUUGUAAACCGCUUUCGCCUGUGACGAAGCGUGAGUGACGGUAAUGGGUAAAGAAGCACCGGCUAACUACGUG